GCUGCUGUUGUUGCUGUUGCUUCAGCCAAUUUGGCGGCUGCUGCUGCUGCUGCUGCUGCUGCUGUGACUGCGGUGGCGGCGGC
RNAcentral lists this small RNA (83 nucleotides) under Drosophila guanche. Lineage: Eukaryota; Metazoa; Arthropoda; Insecta; Diptera; Drosophilidae. The record is from RNAcentral.